RNAcentral lists this ribosomal RNA (492 nucleotides) under uncultured bacterium. Its description in RNAcentral is "partial 16S ribosomal RNA". It matches the Rfam family "Bacterial small subunit ribosomal RNA", at positions 29 to 507 of the family's 1533-position model. The record is from RNAcentral.
AGUGAACGCUGGCGGUAGGCCUAACACAUGCAAGUCGAACGCCAGCACCGUAAGAGCUUGUUCUUUCGGUUGGCGAGUGACGGACGGGUAAGGAAUACAUCGGCAUCUACUUUUUCUUGGGUGAUAACGUAGGGAAACUUCCGCUAAUACCUCAUACGACCUCCUGGUGAAAGCAGGGGAUCUUCGGACCUUUCUCGUUUGAGUUAGCCGAUGUCGGAUUCGCUAUUUGGCGGGGUUAAGGCCCACCAAGGCGACGAUCCGUUGCGGGUCUGAGAGGAUGAACAGCCACACUGGAAAUGAGACACGGUCCAGACUCCUAAGGGAGGCAGCAGUGGGGAAUAGUGAACAAUGGGCGCAAGCCGGAUCCAGCCAGAACGCGUGGGUGAAGAAGGCUGGCGGGUUGUAAAGCGCUUUUGUUGGGAAAGAAAAGUAGAAGGUUAAUAGCGCGCUGUUGUGACGGUACCCAAAGAAUAAGCACCGGCUAACUUCGUG